This 464-nucleotide ribosomal RNA is filed under the name Panorpa sexspinosa. RNAcentral describes it as "partial 28S ribosomal RNA". The record is from RNAcentral. Lineage: Eukaryota; Metazoa; Arthropoda; Insecta; Mecoptera; Panorpidae.
AAAGACCUGCCAAAGGGCAACGGUCUCGAAUGAUAUCACUUCAGCAUGCUUACAUGUUGGUCGAGCAUUGCAUCUUUAUGUGAUAAUUUUUUAAUGGCUUUACGGCCAUUAAUAUUACACUAAUUUGUAAUGAUAAUUUGGCUAUGGAGAUAUGCACUUCUUCUCUAGUAGGACGUUGCAACUCAUUGGAUGUUAAUCUAAGAACCCUAAGGUUAGCCUAUUUUAUAUAUAUUUCGGUAUAUGUGAUUUAGACCUAGGUGCUUUUCCCGAUUAACUUGUUCGAUGGUAUAUCAUAAUAUUGGGCCGCCUAUAUGGCAUUCAAGCUAUUUUCAAGUGUGUACGGACCAAAUUUUGGCUAUCAGACCUAGUGCUGUUACUGAAACCGUUAUACUGCUGGAUUAUAGUAUAUUGAAUAGACCUUUUAUAUUGGUUAGCAACGCUUUAGCUUUGGGUACUUUCAGGAC